AGCGAACGCUGGCGGCAGGCCUAACACAUGCAAGUCGAACGGAUCCUCCGGGAUUAGUUGCGGACGGGUGAGUAACACGUGGGAACGUGCCCUUUGGUUCGGAACACCUCAGUGUAACUUGAGCUAAUACCGGAUGUGCCCUUCGGGGGAAAGAUUGAUCGACAUUGGAGCAGCGGGCGUCGUAUUAGCUUGGUGGUGAUGUAACGGCCGAUCACGGCGUCGCUCAUUAGCUGGGCUGAGAGGAUGAGCAGCCACACUGGGACUGGGACGCGGCCCAGAAUCCUAGGGGAGGGAGGAGAGGGGAAUCUAGCGAAAUGGGGGAGGGGCAGAAGCCGCCCGGGCGCGUGAAUGAUGAAGGUGUGAGGAUUGUACAAUUGUUUCAGCGGCGACGGUACUGACGGUACCCGAAGAAGAAGCACCGGCUAACUUCGUG
Molecule: ribosomal RNA, 433 nt
Filed under: uncultured bacterium
Lineage: Bacteria
Description: partial 16S ribosomal RNA
Rfam family: Bacterial small subunit ribosomal RNA
Source: RNAcentral